UUAAGAAAGCAAGAGCGCACGGUGGAUGCCUAGGCACUAAUAGGCGAAGAAGGACGCGACUAACAGCGAAAUGCUACGGGGAGCAGUAAGUAGGCAAAGAUCCGUAGGUAUCCGAAUGGGGAAACCCACUAGUUAGAAGAGCUAGUAUCGUAUAAUGAAUACAUAGUUAUACGAGGCGAACCCGGGGAACUGAAACAUCUAAGUACCCGGAGGAAAAGAAAACAAAAGUAAUUCCCUAAGUAGAGGCGAUUGAAAGGGGAGGAGCCCAGCACCAAGAAGAGUUAGAAAAUCUUUUUAUAGUAGAAUUGUAUUGGAAAAGCAAGACAAAGAAGGUGAAAUCCCUGUAUACGAAAUAAAGAGAUCUCGGUGUCGGAGUAGGGCGGAGCACGAGGAAUUCUGUCUGAAGAAGUGAGGACCAUCUCAUAAGGCUAAAUACUCAUUAGUGACCGAUAGUGAACCAGUACUGUGAAGGAAAGGUGAAAAGAACCCCUGGCGGGGAGUGAAAAGAACCUGAAACCGUGUGCUUACAAACAGUUAGAGCCCGUCAAAGGGUGAUAGCGUGCCUUUUGUAGAAUGAGCCGGCGAGUUACGUUAAUGUGCGAGGUUAAGUUUUAAGGGACGGAGCCGAAGCGAAAGCGAGUCUGAAGAGGGCGGAAUAGUAGAUUGACGUAUACCCGAAACCGGGUGAUCUAGCCAUGAGCAGGUUGAAGCUUGGGUAAAACCAGGUGGAGGACCGAACCAGGGUCUGUUGAAAAAGACUUGGAUGACUUGUGGCUAGGGGUGAAAUUCCAAUCGAACCCGGAGAUAGCUGGUUCUCCCCGAAAUAGCUUUAGGGCUAGCGUUAUGGAGAAGAGUUAUACGAAGGUAGAGCACUGAAUGGGUGAGGGCCUCAUCUCGAGGUACUGAUCUCAAUCAAACUCCGAAUGUCGUAUAAUAUACAUAGCAGUAAGACUAUGGGUGAUAAGGUUCAUAGUCAAAAGGGAAACAGCCCAGACCGCCAGUUAAGGUCCCAAAAUUAUGCUAAGUGGGAAAGGAGGUGGAGUCGCAUAGACAACUAGGAGGUUGGCUUAGAAGCAGCCAUCCUUUAAAGAGUGCGUAAUAGCUCACUAGUCGAGUGAUUCUGCGCCGAAAAUGUAUCGGGGCUAAGCAUAAUACCGAAGCUGCGGAAUUAGGAAAGAAAGCCUAAUUGGUAGGGGAGCGUACUAAACACGAAGAAGGUUGACCGGGAGGGCAGCUGGAGAGUUUAGCAGUGAGAAUGCCGGUGUGAGUAGCGAUAAGAUGGGUGAGAAUCCCAUCCGUCGGAAGCCUAAGGGUUCCAGGGGUAAGGCUCGUCCGCCCUGGGUAAGUCGGGACCUAAGGUGAGGCCGAAAGGCGUAGCUGAUGGAUAUCAGGUUGAUAAUCCUGGACCACCAUAGAGCUGAAGGAGUGACGGAGGAGGGAAGUUAGGAUGGACUGGUGGAAUAGUCUAAUGAAGCACAAAGAGGGAUACGUAGGAAAAACCGCGUAUUAGAACCUUGAAGUGUAAACCGCAAGGCCUAAUGGACCACACUUCCAAGAAAAGCUUCUAGGAAUACUUUAUGGUGCCCGUACCGUAAACGGACACACGUAGGCGAGGAGAGAAUCCAAAGACGCGCGAGAUAAUUCUUGUUAAGGAACUCUGCAAAAUGACCCUGUAACUUCGGGAUAAAGGGGACUCUAGAGAUAGAGGCGCAGAAAAUAGGCCCAAGCGACUGUUUAACAAAAACAUAGGUUUCUGCUAAAGCGAAAGCUGAUGUAUAGGAGCUGACGCCUGCCCAGUGCUGGAAGGUUAAGAGGAGAUGUAAGUCGCAAGGCAAAGCAUUGAAUUGAAGCCCCAGUAAACGGCGGCCGUAACUAUAACGGUCCUAAGGUAGCGAAAUUCCUUGUCAGGUAAGUUCUGACCCGCACGAAAGGCGUAACGAUUUGGACGGGAAGACCCCAUGGAGCUUCACUGCAGCUUAAUAUUGAUAUUGGGUGUGUGAUGUACAGGAUAGGUGGGAGACGAGGAAGCGAGUACGCUAGUAUUCGUGGAGUCAACGUUGGGAUACCACCCUUCAUACAUUUAGUAUCUAACUAGUAUCCAUGAGCUGGGUAUAGAACAGUGUUAGGUGGGCAGUUUGACUGGGGCGGUCGCCUCCCAAAGAGUAACGGAGGCGCCCAAAGGUUCCCUCAGAAUGGUUGGAAAUCAUUCAAAGAGUGCAAAGGCAGAAGGGAGCUUGACUGCGAGACGGACAGGUCGAGCAGGAACGAAAGUUGGGCUUAGUGAACCGGCUGUACUGAAUGGAAAGGCAGUCGAUCAACGGACAAAAGCUACCCUGGGGAUAACAGGCUGAUCUCCCCCAAGAGUUCACAUCGACGGGGAGGUUUGGCACCUCGAUGUCGGCUCGUCGCAUCCUGGGGCUGGAGAAGGUCCCAAGGGUUGGGCUGUUCGCCCAUUAAAGCGUCACGCGAGCUGGGUUCAGAACGUCGUGAGACAGUUCGGUCCCUAUCUGUCGUGGGCGUAGGAAAUUUGAAGGGAGUCGUCCCUAGUACGAGAGGACCAGGAUGAACGUACCGCUGGUGAAUCAGUUGGCCUGCCAGGGCCACAGCUGGGUAGCUACGUACGGCCGGGAUAAACGCUGAAAGCAUCUAAGCGUGAAGCCCCCCCUGAGAUGAGAUUUCCCAUUAGAGAUAAGUAAGACCCCUUAGAGAUGAUGAGGUAGAUAGGUCAGAGAUGUAAGCACUGUGAGGUGUUGAGUUGACUGAUACUAAUAGGUCGAGGACUUAACCU
Molecule: ribosomal RNA, 2788 nt
Filed under: human gut metagenome
Description: bacterial LSU rRNA
Rfam family: Bacterial large subunit ribosomal RNA
Source: RNAcentral